RNAcentral lists this ribosomal RNA (497 nucleotides) under uncultured bacterium. RNAcentral's name for it is "partial 16S ribosomal RNA". It matches the Rfam family "Bacterial small subunit ribosomal RNA", at positions 28 to 507 of the family's 1533-position model. The record is from RNAcentral.
GAUGAACGCUGGCGGCGUGCCUAAUACAUGCAAGUCGAGCGAACAGACGAGGAGCUUGCUCCUCUGACGUUAGCGGCGGACGGGUGAGUAACACGUGGAUAACCUACCUAUAAGACUGGGAUAACUUCGGGAAACCGGAGCUAAUACCGGAUAAUAUAUUGAACCGCAUGGUUCAAUAGUGAAAGACGGUUUUGCUGUCACUUAUAGAUGGAUCCGCGCCGCAUUUGCUAGUUGGUAAGGUAACGGCUUACCAAGGCAACGAUGCGUAGCCGACCUGAGAGGGUGAUCGGCCACACUGGAACUGAGACACGGUCCAGACUCCUACGGGAGGCAGCAGUAGGGAAUCUUCCGCAAUGGGCGAAAGCCUGACGGAGCAACGCCGCGUGAGUGAUGAAGGUCUUCGGAUCGUAAAACUCUGUUAUUAGGGAAGAACAAAUGUGUAAGUAACUAUGCACGUCUUGACGGUACCUAAUCAGAAAGCCACGGCUAACUACGUG